Molecule: non-coding RNA, 622 nt
Organism: Pantherophis guttatus
Lineage: Eukaryota; Metazoa; Chordata; Lepidosauria; Squamata; Colubridae
Source: RefSeq, a predicted model, not a curated record
CUCACUUAUUCAGCAGUGAAUCAGGAGGAAAAAAAGAGCCUUUUGUCCAGUCCUUUGCUUGUCUGCCAAUAGCAGCCCUUGGCGAAUGAGAGUUUUGAUGGACAAAAAGACCGAGGAACAUUGGGGAAGGGAGAAACUGUAACAGCAUUUCAAUGCAGCUCGAACACUGAUGGAAUGGAUGUGGAGAAAGGCAGUAUCCUCUUCCAUAUAGAAACCAUCAGGCGAAGAGGAAAUGUUGCAAGCAAAUUCCUACUCUCAACAAACAUUCACAAAAGAGAAUCUUUCAGAAAGGUGUCUGAUAUACUUGCAACAUUCCAUGCCCACCUACAAAAGUCCUUGGUAAGAAGAGUCUGUCAACAUUAGUGCAAGGAUGAAGAGCAUUGUCAUUAUUUUUCUGGUCCUCCUAUCCAGAGCUAUUAGUUCUGCGUUACUCAGGAUCAUGGCAUAUUAGAUAAAGAGGACCCAAGCCUUAUUUAUCUAAUAAGGGAACCUUGUGCCCUUACUGAAAUAGAAAGCUGCAUUGUAUCUGAAGAAAAAAAAGUGCUUUCAAAAAUUCAGGAAAUGGAGCAUGGAAAUCCUGCUGAAAAGGUUUGGUAAAGAAUAAAAGGAUUGAGAAAUUGUA